AUACUUACCUGGAAGGGGAAACAUCAUUAUCACGAAGGUGUUUUUCCCAAGGUGAGGCUUAUCAGUUGCACUCUGGAUGUGCUGACUCCUGUGAUUUCCCCAAAUAUGGGAAACUCAACUGCAUCAUUUGUGGUGGGGGGGGACUGUGUUCAUGCUUUCCCCUG
Nycticebus coucang (slow loris) is the source of this 164-nucleotide small nuclear RNA. RefSeq annotates it as U1 spliceosomal RNA. The transcript has a single exon. The record is from RefSeq and is a predicted model, not a curated record. NCBI's taxonomy places the organism in Eukaryota, Metazoa, Chordata, Mammalia, Primates, Lorisidae.